CCUACACCUCUCUGGGUGUGAGACCUCAGCCAGCUUGCUCCACAUUGGAAUCCUGCAUCCCCUGCUCUGCUAAAAGAUAGGCAUGGGUUAGGCUGCACCAGGGGACCAGCAGGAACUCAAGAAGCUCUGCCGCACUAUGAAUUGCUCUUCCCUGCUCUAAGACCCUGAGGAUCACCUCUCCCUGGGCUGCAACCUGGAAAAUGCUCCGCCUGCCACUGGGACACUGCAGAGUGGGAAGGGGCCACCAGAGCCAUCCACCCGAACAGGAUGCAAAAUGGGAUGCACAACUCUGCAAAAAAUGUAUCUGCCGAUGGACCCACACUGGAAAUGAAUCAGCAAAAAUGAAAAACAGCUGCAUGGGUGGUGAAGAGACAGGAAUGGAGCUGCGGGGUUUCAUUUGUCAUAUCUGCCUGUGAAGAAGAGCCUCUGCUGCCCUUGCUGUCCUCCUCCCCAGGCAAAGAAGACAGCUUUCCCUGAUGAAAGCAAGGAUAAAGGUGAAAUUUAAAUACAAAUGUCCACGACCAUUCUGAAGUAAUAAACAAUAACAAGGGAAAGUACGUGGUGCCUUU
Molecule: long non-coding RNA, 569 nt
Organism: Castor canadensis (American beaver)
Lineage: Eukaryota; Metazoa; Chordata; Mammalia; Rodentia; Castoridae
Source: Ensembl